Diabrotica virgifera virgifera (western corn rootworm) is the source of this 1132-nucleotide long non-coding RNA. RefSeq lists it as uncharacterized. Lineage: Eukaryota; Metazoa; Arthropoda; Insecta; Coleoptera; Chrysomelidae. The record is from RefSeq and is a predicted model, not a curated record. The transcript has 3 exons.
UGAUUUACUAUGACCCUAACAACACACAACAUUCCAGGAAUGUACUACCAAAGUUCUAUCAAUAUUUGAAUGUCCUGGACAUUUAGGGAACAUUCGGUGAACAUCUGUUUAAAUUAUUCCUGGAAUGUUACCAUAAGACAUUCUGUGAACAUACUACCAAUGUUCCUAUAUUUUAAGUUGCGAAAUAAUACAUACGUGUAAGAGAUACAACAUUACUUAUAACAUACCAGACAAACUAAGUGACAUUUUAGGCCUACAGUGCAAUAAUAUGUCAAAUUUAAAGAGUUUCCCAAGAUUAUAAACAUACAAAUGUAAUAAAAAUUAUUGUUCGCGAAUAUUCAAUUUGGAAUGCGAUUUUGUUAAUAAAAAAAAUACUUAUAACUUAUGCAAAACCCAAGAGAGGCAUUUAUAUUUAUUUCUUUUGCGUUCAUUUUCAAAUUCGCCGUGCAUAUAUUUUUGUGCAUGGCGCUUGAGAGGGCAUCACGUGACUAAAAACGACCAACCAACGACCUCGCUUCGGCCAUCUUGGCAUCUUCAUCUUGGCGACCUUGCCUUGCCGUGGAUUGUUUUUAGUUGUUUGUAUUAUUUGUGCUUUUUAAGAAUAUUUUUUUAAUUCGGAUACUUUUAUAAUAGCUUUAAUAGUAUUAUUAACAUAGUGCAUAAAAUGGUGUCCUGUUUUUAACGCAGUUGGAGUAGCAGAAACAAAUGUAGAUAAAAAAAUCUGCAGGAAUAACGUUUCAAUUAUGACAGAAGCUCAAAACAAAUGACUGUGAAUGAAAAGCCCUAUUAAAAGCUUUCCAGAAGAUCCUGCGAAGAAGACAUGAAGUAUAGAUCAGAUUUGUUAAUAGAGGAGUAUGUUCAAAACACUUUUUAGAAAAAGAUAUUGACAGAACUUCACUUUCAUCUGUUCGUUUGAGAGACUGUGCUGUUCCAAUAGCUUAUGUCACACAGAAUCAGCUGAGAGAAGUGGUCUACAAAAAACCAGAAAGGAAACGGAAUAUGUGGCUACGAAAAGCAAAAGAAAGGUUUACAAAGCAAAUGUGACACAUUUUUUUAUAAUAUUUAGGAAUGUCAGCAAAUUACAUUAAAAAAUGUAUGUAAAGAUUUUUUGCAAUAAAAAUGUUUAUAUUUA